UGUCCAAAAUGUCGCGACCCAGGGCGUCGAACACCACAUCUUGAUUCGCGAAGUUUUCCACGGCCGGGUCCAGGGAAUAGAAACAAUGAUCGAACGCGAAGGUUUUCGGCUUGCUCCUGUAACAACACGAAAAGGGGAAGAGUGAUGGAGCGAAGAAACAGAAGAAAGAAGAAAAUGGUGAUGCGGAGGUAGAAGAGGAAGUCGAGGAGGAAGAAGAAGUCGAUGGAGAUGGCUAAGAAGUUGAUGAAGAUGAUAACAAACCAGGAGGGAAGAAAGGAAACGGGAAUAUUUAUAUGUGGAAUUAGUAUUUAUCUAUUAGAGUAAUUAUUUUCAUUUGUCCAGUGUUUUUAAUCAAAUUUAGAAUUGAAAUCUCCGAUAGAGAUUAAAUUUCCAUUUUAAAGAUACAGAUAAACCAAUAAAAUACAGUCGUUCUUUUACUAAAAAUUCAAGCAAAAUAACUUUAUUUCUCACGCUUUAUCGAUUAUAUAAUAUAGCCACACUAUAUAUUAUAAUUUAUUAGAACUAUUUCAUCGCUUUAUUUCAUUACUAAUUAUUUAGUAUAUACAUAAGAAGAUACAUUUUAUAGUCAAAAUAUCUGUACAGUAAAAUUUUGGAAAUUGAA
Long non-coding RNA from Bombus terrestris (buff-tailed bumblebee), 622 nucleotides. RefSeq lists it as uncharacterized. The transcript has 2 exons. The record is from RefSeq and is a predicted model, not a curated record. Lineage: Eukaryota; Metazoa; Arthropoda; Insecta; Hymenoptera; Apidae.